Molecule: ribosomal RNA, 438 nt
Filed under: Coniochaeta hansenii
Lineage: Eukaryota; Fungi; Ascomycota; Sordariomycetes; Coniochaetales; Coniochaetaceae
Description: SSU rRNA
Rfam family: Eukaryotic small subunit ribosomal RNA
Source: RNAcentral
CUCAUUAAAUCAGUUAUCGUUUAUUUGAUAGUACCUUACUACAUGGAUAACCGUGGUAAUUCUAGAGCUAAUACAUGCUAAAAACCCCGACUUCGGAAGGGGUGUGUUUAUUAGAUUAAAAACCAAUGCCCUCCGGGGCUCUCUGGUGAUUCAUAAUAACCUCUCGAAUCGCACAGCCUUGCGCUGGCGAUGGUUCAUUCAAAUUUCUGCCCUAUCAACUUUCGACGGCUGGGUCUUGGCCAGCCAUGGUGACAACGGGUAACGGAGGGUUAGGGCUCGACCCCGGAGAAGGAGCCUGAGAAACGGCUACUACAUCCAAGGAAGGCAGCAGGCGCGCAAAUUACCCAAUCCCGACUCGGGGAGGUAGUGACAAUAAAUACUGAUACAGGGCUCUUUUGGGUCUUGUAAUUGGAAUGAGUACAAUUUAAAUCCCUUAAC